UGCCAGCAGCCGCGGUAAUACGGAGGGUGCAAGCGUUGUUCGGAAUUACUGGGCGUAAAGCGCGUGUAGGCGGCUUCUUAAGUCUGAUGUGAAAGCCCGGGGCUCAACCCCGGAAGUGCAUUGGAAACUGGGAAGCUAGAGUACCGGAGAGGAAAGCGGAAUUCCUGGUGUAGCGGUGAAAUGCGUAGAUAUCAGGAGGAACACCGGUGGCGAAGGCGGCUAACUGGCUCGGUACUGACGCUGAGAUGCGAAAGCGUGGGGAGCAAACAGGAUUAGAUA
This 279-nucleotide ribosomal RNA is filed under the name uncultured bacterium. Its description in RNAcentral is "partial 16S ribosomal RNA". It matches the Rfam family "Bacterial small subunit ribosomal RNA", at positions 506 to 784 of the family's 1533-position model. The record is from RNAcentral.